GUAUACACCUACCUGUUGGCAUUGUACUUAUGGCCAUUUCAGGAGUUACAGCACACGUAGCCGAAGGACUGGAGGACUGUCACUAUCAUCCGAUAUUGAAGCAGUACAUACCGGCUGCACAGGAAGUGAGACUAAAGAACGUACACGUUUUAUUCGCCGUAAUGUGAAUGGCAGCAGAAUUACUUUCCAAUUCAACAUGACGCAUGGACGACUGACCAUGAAGUGCCCCAACGGCACAUCGCAAAGUACCAUUUGCUGCAAGUUUGAGUGCACUGACAAAGGUUACAAUACCGCCUGCUCCAUGUAUGCGCAAGGAUCAUACGCCUGGUACCAAGCAAGUGUCUCUGACUCACAAAAUACCACCCAAGGUUUCAAGAUCUAUUUCUUUUUAGUCAGCUACAAUGCGAAAAAUUACCCCGCUGAAAUAAGCGUGAAUAUUCCAAGACCACACGUUUCAAGUAGCGUUGCCCUCGUCAUGAGAAAUUACGUGACGAAAGUAAGAACUUAUCCUCAGCCUCAAUAUUUUACCAAUUUUACGAUUUACAACAGCACCCUAGGAAGCCUGUGGGAGACGUUCAUUAAAAAGGUCACGACAAGACUGGAAACUUAUCUCAUUGAAUGCAUUGAGAAAUUUUAUAAGGAAAGAAUAACGUUUCUACUAUACGACUAGAGACACAAGCUUCGUUAGAAGCAGACCAUUAGCAUGGAAGAGAAACUUCAUACUGAACUAUGACUAAUUGUUAUUAAAAUCAUCAAACUGCGA
Dermacentor silvarum is the source of this 763-nucleotide long non-coding RNA. RefSeq lists it as uncharacterized. Lineage: Eukaryota; Metazoa; Arthropoda; Arachnida; Ixodida; Ixodidae. The transcript has 4 exons. The record is from RefSeq and is a predicted model, not a curated record.